GACGAACGCUGGCGGCGUGCCUAAUACAUGCAAGUCGAACGAGAGCGCCCGGUGCUUGCACUGGUCAAUCUAGCGGCGAACGGGUGAGUAACACGUGGGUAACCUGCCCAUAAGAGGGGGAUAACAUUCGGAAACGGAUGCUAAAACCGCAUAGGUCUUCGAACCGCAUGGUUUGAAGAUGAAAAGCGGCGCAACCGUCUGCUGAUGGAUGGACCCGCGGUGCAUUAGCUAGUUGGUGAGGAAACGGCUCACCAAGGCAAGGAUGCAUAGCCGACCUGAGAGGGUGAUCGGCCACAGUGGGACUGAGACACGGCCCAAACUCCUACGGGAGGCAGCAGUAGGGAAUCUUCCGCAAUGGGCGCAAGUCUGACGGAGCAACGCCGCGUGAGUGAAGAAGGUUUUCGGAUCGUAAAACUCUGUUGUUAGAGAAGAAUAAGUGCUAGAGUAACUGUUAGCGCCUUGACGGUAUCUAACCAGAAAGCCACGGCUAACUACGUG
This 498-nucleotide ribosomal RNA is filed under the name uncultured bacterium. RNAcentral describes it as "partial 16S ribosomal RNA". It matches the Rfam family "Bacterial small subunit ribosomal RNA", at positions 28 to 507 of the family's 1533-position model. The record is from RNAcentral.